This 371-nucleotide long non-coding RNA is filed under the name Numida meleagris (helmeted guineafowl). RNAcentral's name for it is "lncRNA (ENSNMEG00000020438.1)". Lineage: Eukaryota; Metazoa; Chordata; Aves; Galliformes; Numididae. The record is from RNAcentral.
UGAAGGGCUGUUCAGUAAAAGAGCACGAAUUUUAGGGGCCUGUUAUUAUAUUAGAAAUUUAUCAGAAGCAUAGCAAUAUUUAAUAUACUUUUCUCCCUACAGCACUCCAUGGAGUAGGAAAAUGUAAUAUCACGACUACUUAUUAUGAAGACGACUAUGUAUUAUGAAGAAAGGCAGCUAAAUUUCUUUGAAAGCUCUGGCCCAAGAUCUUUGAAGUAACCUUGGAGCAGAUAAUUGAAAUAAUGUCAUUUAAAUCCCAGGUGACAAAAAGAAGAAGGAACAAGAAUGUAUCUGAUGGAUUCAGACUGCUGAUGAACCCUGAUUCCUUUGGUGUUAUUUUGGAUAUCCAGUGGUCUGGACACAAAUAAAAU